CCUACGGGCCGCAGCAGUGGGGAAUAUUGCACAAUGGGCGCAAGCCUGAUGCAGCCAUGCCGCGUGUAUGAAGAAGGCCUUCGGGUUGUAAAGUACUUUCAGCGGGGAGGAAGGCGGUAAGGUUAAUAACCAUGUCGAUUGACGUUACCCGCAGAAGAAGCACCGGCUAACUCCGUGCCAGCAGCCGCGGUAAUACGGAGGGUGCGAGCGUUAAUCGGAAUUACUGGGCGUAAAGCGCACGCAGGCGGUCUGUCAAGUCGGAUGCGAAAUCCCCGGGCUCAACCUGGGAACUGCAUUAGAAACUGGCAGGCUGGAGUCUUGUAGAGGGGGGUAGAAUUCCAGGUGUAGCGGUGAAAUGCGUAGAGAUCUGGAGGAAUACCGGUGGCGAAGGCGGCCCCCUGGACAAAGACUGACGCUCAGGUGCGAAAGCGUGGGGAGCAAACAGGAUUAGAUACCCGAGUAGUC
This 465-nucleotide ribosomal RNA is filed under the name uncultured bacterium. RNAcentral describes it as "bacterial SSU rRNA". It matches the Rfam family "Bacterial small subunit ribosomal RNA", at positions 338 to 795 of the family's 1533-position model. The record is from RNAcentral.